Molecule: long non-coding RNA, 464 nt
Organism: Leptopilina boulardi
Lineage: Eukaryota; Metazoa; Arthropoda; Insecta; Hymenoptera; Figitidae
Exons: 2
Source: RefSeq, a predicted model, not a curated record
UUGAUUGACGAAUUUUAUUCCAUAAUGAAAAUUAUAUACAUUUUGCUAUGUCUAGUGGUAAUUUUCUUUUUUAUAACAAUUGUUCAAGCAAACAAUUAUAUUGAUUCACAAGAAUGUUCAAAAAGAGGAGAUAUAUGUAGCAGAAAAUUAAAUAAAAAAUGUUGCACUGGAUUAAAAUGUAGAGUAUUUGGAUCAUUGUCAAAUUUGAAAUUUUGUUCUGAAUUCUGAAAACAAUUACGUACAAUAUUUCAAUCUCAAUAUUGAAGGCAAUGCAAGAUUUUCAAUUUUAACAUUAGUUUCAUUAACUUAUUUUGUAAAUAAUUUAAAUAAGAAUUCUUAAAAUUUAAUUCACAAAUAUGUAAUUUAUUUUAAGCUUUAAAAUAUUUAUUAUUUUUUAAUAUUUAAAUAUUUGUAUGUAUAUAAAUGUACGAUAGUGAAUUAAAUUUAUUUUACUAAAACAAAAA